This 402-nucleotide ribosomal RNA is filed under the name uncultured prokaryote. Its description in RNAcentral is "bacterial SSU rRNA". It matches the Rfam family "Bacterial small subunit ribosomal RNA", at positions 355 to 774 of the family's 1533-position model. The record is from RNAcentral.
UGGGGAAUAUUGGACAAUGGGGGCAACCCUGAUCCAGCCAUGCCGCGUGAAUGAUGAAGGCCUUCGGGUUGUAAAGUUCUUUUGGUGGGGACGAUGAUGACGGUACCCACAGAAUAAGCUCCGGCUAACUUCGUGCCAGCAGCCGCGGUAAUACGCAGGGCGCUAGCGUUGUUCGGAAUUACUGGGCGUAAAGGGCGCGUAGGCGGUUUGGUAAGUUGGACGUGAAAGCCCAGGGCUCAACACUGGAACUGCAUUCAAAACUGCUUGACUUGAAUUCGGUAGAGGUUGGUGGAAUUCCCAGUGUAGAGGUGAAAUGCGUAGAUAUUGGGAAGAAUAUCCGUGGCGAAGGCGGCCAACUGGACCGACAUUGACGCUGAGGCGCGAAAGCGUGGGGAUCAAACA